GAGUUUGAUCUUGGCUCAGGAUGAACGCUAGCGACAGGCUUAACACAUGCAAGUCGAGGGGCAGCACAGGUAGCAAUACCGGGUGGCGACCGGCGCACGGGUGAGUAACGCGUAUGCAACUUACCUAUCAGAGGGGGAUAACCCGGCGAAAGUACGGACUAAUACCGCAUGAAGCAGGGGCCCGCAUGGGGAGUAUUUGCUAAAGAUUCAUCGCUGAUAGAUAGGCAUGCGUUCCAUUAGGCAGUUGGCGGGGUAACGGCCCACCAAACCGACGAUGGAUAGGGGUUCUGAGAGGAAGGUCCCCCCACAUUGGUACUGAGACACGGACCAAACUCCUACGGGAGGCAGCAGUGAGGAAUAUUGGUCAAUGGGCGUAAGCCUGAACCAGCCAAGUCGCGUGAGGGAUGAAGGUUCUAUGGA
This 420-nucleotide ribosomal RNA is filed under the name uncultured bacterium. RNAcentral's name for it is "bacterial SSU rRNA". It matches the Rfam family "Bacterial small subunit ribosomal RNA", at positions 9 to 422 of the family's 1533-position model. The record is from RNAcentral.